UACAGAGACCUCAAGAGUUAUCCGGAUUUAUUGGGCGUAAAGCGCGUGUAGGCGGACUUAUUAGUCAGAUGUCAAAUCUCCGAGCUCAACUCGGAAACUGCAUUUGAAACGGUAAGUCUGGAGAGAGCGAGAGACCAAUGGAACGUAUGGUGUAGCAGUGAAAUGCGUUGAUAUCAUACGGAACACCAAAGGCGAAGGCAUUUGGUUGGCGCUCAUCUGACGCUGAGACGCGAAAGCGUGUAUAGCGAAGGGG
This 253-nucleotide ribosomal RNA is filed under the name uncultured bacterium. Its description in RNAcentral is "partial 16S ribosomal RNA". It matches the Rfam family "Bacterial small subunit ribosomal RNA", at positions 524 to 776 of the family's 1533-position model. The record is from RNAcentral.